Molecule: ribosomal RNA, 391 nt
Filed under: uncultured Chrysophyceae
Lineage: Eukaryota; Chrysophyceae
Description: partial small subunit ribosomal RNA
Rfam family: Eukaryotic small subunit ribosomal RNA
Source: RNAcentral
GCUUGUCUCAAAGAUUAAGCCAUGCAUGUCUAAGUGUAAAUAAGUCUAUACUGUGAAACUGCGAAUGGCUCAUUAAAUCAGUUAUAGUUUAUUUGAUGGUACUUACUUACUCGGAUAACCGUAGUAAUUCUAGAGCUAAUACAUGCAUCAAACCCCGACUUCUGGAAGGGGUGUAUUUAUUAGAUGGAAACCAAUGCAGGGCAACCUGGAAUAUGGUGAUUCAUAAUAACUCGCGGAUCGGUUUACCGAUGCAUCAUUCAAGUUUCUGCCCUAUCAGCUUUGGAUGGUAGGGUAUUGGCCUACCAUGGCUUUAACGGGUAACGGAGAAUUAGGGUUCGAUUCCGGAGAGGGAGCCUGAGAAAUGGCUACCACAUCCAAGGAAGGCAGCAGG